This is a long non-coding RNA of Grus americana (Whooping crane), 419 nucleotides long. RefSeq lists it as uncharacterized. Lineage: Eukaryota; Metazoa; Chordata; Aves; Gruiformes; Gruidae. The transcript has 3 exons. The record is from RefSeq and is a predicted model, not a curated record.
CAGAAGAUGCAGAGGCCUCUGUCGCAUGGCGGGGAAAGUGAAAAAGCAUCUUGCGAUGCAGAUGGUCUUUCAACUCUGGUUGCAUCUAAGUGGGAACGCAGGUGGCUGGAAAUCAGCUCGGUUCACAGAGGGGCUUCGAACCUGACAACAUGCCUGGCGUGCUGUCAGUGCCCUGGGCCACCCUGGGACCGUAUCAGCUGGGAUAGAUCUGAGACUGGUACAUCUUCUGAAAAAGAGUAAGAAAUGUCAAUCUUGAGAAGGAUUUGAACGCUAGAGGUUUCUGUAGUCGUGUGAUUUCACUACUCAUGUACAUUAAGGUCUUGCUGAGACCAUAAAGAGGAAGGUCCCGGGCAGGUGGCUACAGCCGAGAGGCCAAAACACCCAGAAGAUGGAAGGCAGCUGUGGUCUGUGAGUAACGG